RNAcentral lists this long non-coding RNA (215 nucleotides) under Capsicum annuum. RNAcentral's name for it is "long non-coding RNA (CANN_LNC007104)". The record is from RNAcentral. Lineage: Eukaryota; Viridiplantae; Streptophyta; Magnoliopsida; Solanales; Solanaceae.
UCACUGAUCUGACGGCGUAUCACCAACGUCGUCAGAUUUUUUCUUCAAGCUCAAUUCUCUAGUUUAGGUUGAUGCCCAUUGUGAUGCCUUAUUAGCUCUUUAACGCUAUGCCACCAAUAUUGUCAGAACUUUCUCUCAGACUUCAACUCUCUGGUUAGGCUAAAGCCUAUCACAAGGCUGGCGACUUAUCACGGUCGUCGUCAGCCAUGUUUUCA